CGAGAAGAGGAUCCGUGAGGUUUCACCGUGAGACAAAAAGAGCCGAGAACCCCCGCUUUAAGGUCACUUGCCUGGUUUGAAAUCCCUACUCUGCCUCUAGCUGACGAGGCAGUACGGUACUGUGGAUAGAGUCAGCGGGGGUCGGAGACUCUGGGGUUCAAAUCUUCGCUCUGAUGCUCACUAUUUUCUUGACUUGGAGCAAGCUGCCCGCCCGGAGCAGACACUUAAGAGGGGUGGGCUAGAUCUAGCCAGAGGGGAGGCUAAAUGGGGGUGAACGGAGCGGGGUGAUGGACCAGACGACUUCCAGGGUCCAACCCCGACCCAGCAUCUCCUCUGUCUUUAUCUAGAAACCUCGGGGCAGAGAGAGCCGCGGGAUGCUCUGGGAAACUCCCAAGUCUCUGGGGAUGCUCUCCACUUUGGAGCGCCUCUCCAGGGUCCCUGCCCGGGAGAAGCAAGACGGGGGAUAUAUAAGCCAGAGAAGCCGGCGACCCCGAGGCAGACGCAGCGGCAGCGGGCAGCGGCGGCCAGCUGGGAGUGAGGGCAGCGGCGCAGGAGCCGGAGCCGACCGCCUACCAGGCAGUAGCAUUAGCGGCAGCGGCAGCGGCAGCGGCAGCGGCAGCAGCAGCAUCCCAGGGCCAGCCUCAGUAGCAGCAGCAGUGAGAAGGGGCCCCGAGCAGCCUCUGCCUCCCCCCCCCAUCCCCACGUUCCCAGCCCCGACCGGGGGCGUCCCGCCCAGCCGGCCCCUAGACGGGGAGGCCCACCGCUGACCCCCCCUCCCCCCGCAGCCCCCAGCGGGCCGUCCCUUCCCAGUCGCCCGCCGCCCCGGCAGCAGAUUGGAUCCCCCGGCCGGCGGACGUCGGGCCGCGCCCCGGGGGGAGCCGCCGGUUCCCAGCUCGCCCGGCCCGGGGGGCGUCCGCGCCUGCACGCCGCCGCCCACCUCCGGCACCUCCCCAGAGCCGGGCCCCGGGCCGAGCGGCAGCCCGAUGGCGGCAGCGGCGGCCGCGGCAGCCAAGCCGCCCGAGCUGAUGGGCAUCUGCUCCAGCUACCAGGCGGUCAUGCCCCACUUCGUGUGCCUGGCCGACGAAUUUCCGCAGCCCGCGCUGCCCACUAAGCUGCCCCGGGGCAAGGGCAAGCUGCGGCGGCCCCGCCAGUCGCGCUUCAAGACCCAGCCCGUGACGUUCGACGAGAUCCAGGAGGUGGAGGAAGAGGGGGUGUCCCCCAUGGAGGAGGAGAAGGCCAAGAAGUCGUUCCUGCAGUCGCUCGAGUGCCUGCGCCGGAGCACCCAGAACCUCAGCCUGCCGCGGGAGCAGCUCGGCAGCUGCAAGAUGCGGAACAGCCUGGACUCCAGCGACUCGGACUCGGCGCUCUGAGCCCGCCCCUCCCCCCUCCGCCCUCCCAGCCAAGGACUUGAUUUGGCCCCGGCCCUUGUGGGGGGGCUGCCCGCCGAGCCCCGGUCUCUGCUUCUACACUGGCCGAGCUGCGAACUCGUUGCCCUUCUCCGGGCGCUUCUCCGGGGCCGGGACUUGGAGCGAGGCGGGGCAAAUGCCCCGAUUAGGCAGCCUGGGGGGGCCAAAAGAAGGGCUCCCCCUCCCCGUCCCCACUUUUCUUCUUUUCUUUUACUUUGCCCGAGAGAGAGAAGAGAGAAGAGAGGAGAGAGAGAGAGAGAGAGAGAGAGAGAGAGAGAGAGAGAGAGAGAGGUUUUCUAGGAGAGCCGCUGUGUAUUUGUCUCUAAUUGUAGGGAGCUCCGGUUUCCAUCUAUCCCCCCUUCCCUGCUCCCCAGCACACGGCGCCCCAAUACUUUUCUACCAGCCCGCCGCGAAGAUGGGACUUGGGCUACCGCGAAGCUUCCGGAGUCUAUUUAUUUUUGCAUUUCAAUCGUAAACUGCAUUUAUUUAAUACUCUUUCUACCUUGAUGUGUCUGUGAGGUUUCCAGAACAGAGAAAUAAAACCAUAUAUUUGCACAGUGCAUUCGUUAUUCUGAGGGUAUCUGUCCGUCGAUCUGGCUGUCUGCAGCGCCCUACUGCUGGCCGUGCUCUGUGGGUGUGUGUGUGUGCGUGUGUGUGCGUGUGUGUGCGCGCGGGGGGGCGGGGGGUGGGGAGGCGGGCGGGGUGCGGAGCUGGGGCAGGGGUCCUUGAAGAGACAGCAACGGAGACACUGAGACCCGGUCAGUUCCACUAAAAGUCCCCCUUCCCCAGUCCCCCUGUGUCCAUCCGGGUCUUGAUUCAAAUUCAAUCCAAGCCCCGUCCUCUGUCUGGGAUGAGUAAAUCUGUCCUGGAUCGAACUUCCUCUCCUCAGGCUCGGGCACCCGGUCCAGGAUCUGGGUGCGAAGCCCCCCAGCUGAUCUAAGAAUUACACUUGUCAUGUGUGUAGAGUUUUACAACCGCUCUCUCGUUUGGGUCUCCAUGCAACCCAAGGGAGAUAGAAGCUUUCCAUAUUACUUUCAUUUGACAGAUGAAACAGAGACUGGAAACAAGCCCACCCAGCGCGCCCAGGAAGGGUGUCUGAGGCCAAUGGCUUUCCAAGACAGGCUUUUGGCCCUGGGUUCAAAUUCUUACUCGGUCCUUAAUAGCUGUGUGACUUCUGACAAACCCCAUCUUUGAUGUGGACCCCGUUUUCCUCUUUUGCCUAAUGAGAGGCUUGAGCCACAUGAAGGUGUCUUUCCAACCCUCCCCUUUCUGGAAGGGAAACAAGGAGCGCUGUUGGGACAGUUGUGUCUCACCUGAGAAAGGGGCAAGUCCUCUCCAGGGUUUCCUCUCUAGGAAGGAAGUCAUCAUUUCAGCUCAGCUUGGGCAGGGAGCCUGGGGCGCUGUUUUGGGGAAGCCCGGCUGGUCUGGGCUACAAGACCGAGGCCUAGGGAGCUGGCGCGUAUGGGGGCCGUCCCAGUAGUUACAGUCCCCGAGACCUGGGCUUGAGCGUCCACGCUGGGUCAGGAGCUGUCACCUUGCCUUAAUGCUGACUCAGUGGAAAUGCAAAGAACAGCUGUCCUGGAUUCUUUUCUUCCUCUCCCGGCUUGCUCUCUCUGCUCCCUCCCCCACUCUUUCUUUGCUUCUGAUUCUUAAGAUUGAUCUUCACACAGAGGCCUCCCCGCCCACCCAAGGAUGGCCGGCGGGCAGCCUCUGGGCACUGUCUGCCCUUAUUUCCUAUCCUGUUGUCUCUGUGUCUCCAGACCUCCAGUUCAGGUUCUGAACAGCUGUCAGUUAAC
Sarcophilus harrisii (Tasmanian devil) is the source of this 3202-nucleotide long non-coding RNA. The record is from Ensembl. Lineage: Eukaryota; Metazoa; Chordata; Mammalia; Dasyuromorphia; Dasyuridae.